RNAcentral lists this ribosomal RNA (371 nucleotides) under uncultured organism. RNAcentral's name for it is "partial 16S ribosomal RNA". It matches the Rfam family "Bacterial small subunit ribosomal RNA", at positions 527 to 896 of the family's 1533-position model. The record is from RNAcentral.
AGAGGGUGCUAGCGUUAAUCGGAUUUACUGGGCGUAAAGCGUGCGUAGGCGGCUUCUUAAGUCGGAUGUGAAAUCCCUGAGCUUAACUUAGGAAUUGCAUUCGAUACUGGGAAGCUAGAGUAUGGGAGAGGAUGGUAGAAUUCCAGGUGUAGCGGUGAAAUGCGUAGAGAUCUGGAGGAAUACCGAUGGCGAAGGCAGCCAUCUGGCCUAAUACUGACGCUGAGGUACGAAAGCAUGGGGAGCAAACAGGAUUAGAUACCCUGGUAGUCCAUGCCCGUAAACGAUGUCUACUAGCCGUUGGGGCCUUUGAGGCUUUAGUGGCGCAGCUAACGCGAUAAGUAGACCGCCUGGGGAGUACGGUCGCAAGACUA